AUACUGUACAGACACAGGAGAUACCGUGAUCAACAAGGCGGUUCUCCGCGGACGAGAUUCAACCAUUACACUGAGGUUGGUUUGACUCUGCGAUUACCCUAAAAGUGGGUAAAUCGGUGGCCAAUUUCUUCAUAAAUUUAUUCGGUAGACUUAGUG
RNAcentral lists this small nuclear RNA (156 nucleotides) under Helobdella robusta. RNAcentral's name for it is "U1 spliceosomal RNA". It matches the Rfam family "U1 spliceosomal RNA". Rfam says of the family: U1 is a small nuclear RNA (snRNA) component of the spliceosome (involved in pre-mRNA splicing). Its 5' end forms complementary base pairs with the 5' splice junction, thus defining the 5' donor site of an intron. Lineage: Eukaryota; Metazoa; Annelida; Clitellata; Rhynchobdellida; Glossiphoniidae. The record is from RNAcentral.